GAUGAACGCUAGCGGCAGGCUUAAUACAUGCAAGGCGAGGGGGCAGCAAUGUCACCGUCGUACGGGUGCGUAACGCGUAUGCAACCUACCUAUCACUGGGGGAUAGCCCGGGGGAAACCCGGAUUAAUACCGCAUAAUACAGGGGGCCCACAUGGGUCUAUUUGUUAAAGAUUUAUCGGUGGUAGAUGGGCAUGCGUUCG
Molecule: ribosomal RNA, 200 nt
Filed under: uncultured bacterium
Lineage: Bacteria
Description: partial 16S ribosomal RNA
Rfam family: Bacterial small subunit ribosomal RNA
Source: RNAcentral